Molecule: long non-coding RNA, 361 nt
Organism: Perognathus longimembris pacificus (Pacific pocket mouse)
Lineage: Eukaryota; Metazoa; Chordata; Mammalia; Rodentia; Heteromyidae
Exons: 4
Source: RefSeq, a predicted model, not a curated record
ACCUUCUCCCUUUUCACUUUUGGAGAUGGAAAUCAGCCUUGAUAAUACAAUGACAUUCCUACCUCAAAGUAAUAGUAGUAGUAGUAGUAGUAGUAAAGUAUGUCAUGACACAAGUUUGCAAAUGCAAUGCCCACAGGAGGAAAACAUGUCAUAUAAAUGUGUAAAUUAGGUUAUGUACAAGAAACCCAACAAGGAAAUCAUAAGGACAAAUGAAACAUAGCCUCAGUCUGGGAGGUAGUGGGAAUAGUGUGGACUGUGGAAUGGAAUCUUAUCUCCAGAUAACCACCAAAAAGCUGGACAUGGAGCUGUGGCUCAAGUUGAGCAAAAAGCUCAGGGGUAUCACCCAGACCUUGACUGUAAA